AUUGAACGCUGGCGGAAUGCUUUACACAUGCAAGUCGAGCGGCAGCGCGGGGGCGAACCCUGGCGGCGAGCGGCGAACGGGUGAGUAAUACAUCGGAACGUGUCCUUGAGUGGGGGAGUAGCUCGGCGAAAGCCGGAUUAAUACCGCAUAAGCUCUGAGGAGGAAAGCGGGGGACGUGGUAACGGCCUCGCGCUGUUGGAGCGGCCGAUGUCGGAUUAGCUAGUUGGUGGGGUAAAGGCCCACCAAGGCGACGAUCCGUAGCUGGUCUGAGAGGAUGAUCAGCCACACUGGAACUGAGACACGGUCCAGACUCCUACGGGAGGCAGCAGUGGGGAA
This 336-nucleotide ribosomal RNA is filed under the name uncultured bacterium. RNAcentral's name for it is "bacterial SSU rRNA". It matches the Rfam family "Bacterial small subunit ribosomal RNA", at positions 29 to 361 of the family's 1533-position model. The record is from RNAcentral.